CUGUUGCUGGAGUUCUCCCUGUCAGUGAAAGGUAUCUGACUUCAGGGACAGUUGAUAGUCCCUUGGAUGAGCCUCUGCCUUCUCCUUGAAGAAAGAAGACCACACCCCCUACCUACAGAUUCACAGGACCCAGUCCUUCCCUCUAACCGAGCCGGCAGCCUAUUACCUCCUCGGUACUCCGCCCAUUCCUUUACAGACGAUUCUUUGGGAAGGUAUUGUCAUGCAAAUAAAGGACGCGUAAAAUAUUCCCCCGGAGCGCAGCGCUGGGCAGAGACUCACACGGACCGCGAGGAGGACUCAAUCCGGGGCCCCACGGUGGAUUUGUAUUCUUUGCGUCGCUGCGGAGCCGUCCAUCUGUCACAGACCCGCCGGCUUUAUAAGCAGCGACGUACAGCCAGGAAGCAGGUCGGGCCGUUGAAGGAAAAGCAGCGGGAACAUCGAAGCUUUGUGGAGAGGGUGCUCAUACUUCCACAGUCUCCCCCCUGUGAAUACGGUUCUGCCUCUACGCCAUCCCCUCAAGUAAACUACCUGCUGCUGCCACGGGAGGGAAGCUAUAACUAG
This 561-nucleotide long non-coding RNA is filed under the name Oryzias sinensis (Chinese medaka). RNAcentral describes it as "lncRNA (ENSOSIG00000021020.1)". Lineage: Eukaryota; Metazoa; Chordata; Actinopteri; Beloniformes; Adrianichthyidae. The record is from RNAcentral.